Molecule: long non-coding RNA, 1477 nt
Filed under: Rattus norvegicus (Norway rat)
Lineage: Eukaryota; Metazoa; Chordata; Mammalia; Rodentia; Muridae
Description: long non-coding RNA NONRATT026814
Source: RNAcentral
AGAUAGCCUUGUGUGUCACCUAAGACAAUUCAGUUGGGUGUUUUUCUAUGAUAUAAACCACAGCUGUACCUGCCUCAUCUUGUGAAAAUAAAGUAUAAAAUAUUCAGUGUGGAAUGCCUGUCAACAUUUAGAAAUGUAAGAUGAUAGACUGCUCUUCCUUUGCCUUCCCACAAGUGACCCUAAGUUCAUCUCGAUGUACAUUUCUGGAAAGUUUUGUAUAUGUCACAAUUGCUGAUUUAGAAAAUAAGACAUGCAUAAAAGUGACCCUCAAAAUGAAAGAUAAUGGGUGUUUUCAUAGAGAUGCAUAUUUUAUUUUCAUUAAAUGUUAUGUUAUGUGAAUUUAUUUAAAUCCAUAGUAAAUUGUUUUGCUACUGAGCUCCUUUUAAGGGAAAUGUCCUUGGUGACUGAAGCACUCAGGCCCUGUCCUGCUGUGGUGUCAUAUGGGCAUAAUGCUUCAGAGAGGGACCUACUAGAGUUGCUGUGUUUGGCUGCUUAACAAAUUUGAAAGCAAAUGUCCAAUUUUCUUUGAGAAUAUGUGUUUUGCCUGCUGUUUCAAAUAUAUUUUCCAAGGUUUAUUUCUUUCCUUCUAUACUGUGUGGACAAGGAUGUUUUUAGAUUAACAAUUUUUUGCCCCCUAGGAUCAAAUAUAGAAUAAUUCCUCAAGGAAACGCAUGAAUGGAAUGAGAUAGUUAAGAGUCCCACAGUUUCCUCUGGUUAGCCUGAGGCAUAGGAGGAGAAUUUUCUGUCUAGUUCCAAAUAGUAAGAUAGAAACGCCUUGAAGUCUUUCCCCUACUGUAAAUUGAUAUUCUGUCUUGAAGGAGCCAUUUUAAUUAAUUUCCUCAGUCAAACAUUCUGUGCAAAUGUUGAGACAUACAGCAUGUUAACUUUAUGGUACCUAUCAAAUAGUUUUAUUUUAUUUAUAAAGUCAGAAAUGCUCUAUUUAGGCUUCCUGGAAAUAGAGACAAUCAUUUUAAUUACUAAAGGUGCUACUUAUUUUCCAACACUGACCUUGAUCAAGAGUGCUCCUGUCUGCUGAGUUUUAUGUGUUCUAUUUUUAGGAGUGGGGAGCAGUGCAAUAAAAUUCAUUUAUCUCUUUUUUUUGAAUUAUGCAACUUGAGAAAAAUCUAUAACUAUUUGUACUCUAUUGUUACUGUAUUUUAAUGAUUACCACUCAUGAAUUUAAUUGCAGCUCUGUGCUGUUUGUUAAAAAGUACAUGUGUAUAUAUUUCUAUAGUAUGUAAGAAAAACUUGUAUUGCUUUUAUUAAAGUAAAAUUUAUGUUCAUGUUGAGUUUUAAAAUGAAAUCUGUAACUUUGUCCUUAACCAUCAAAUGCUGUGCUAUUCUAGUAUCAAAACAUGAUGUCCAACUCCAGCCCAUGUGUAAGGGCACUUCUUUGCCUGGAUGUAUAUAACUGAUUAAUAUCAAUGGGAAGAUUAAUGUCAACAUGAAAAAUAUAUUCAAUGACUUCUAAUGGCUG